Molecule: ribosomal RNA, 301 nt
Filed under: uncultured bacterium
Lineage: Bacteria
Description: partial 16S ribosomal RNA
Rfam family: Bacterial small subunit ribosomal RNA
Source: RNAcentral
CAGCAGCCACGGUAAUACGGAGGGUGCAAGCGUUAUCCGGAUUCACUGGGUUUAAAGGGUGCGUAGGCGAGCAGGUAAGUCAGUGGUGAAAUCUUCGAGCUUAACUCGGAAACUGCCGUUGAUACUAUCUGUCUUGAAUAACGUUGAGGUGAGCGGAAUAUGUCAUGUAGCGGUGAAAUGCUUAGAUAUGACAUAGAACACCGAUUGCGAAGGCAGCUCACUAAACGCUCAUUGACGCUGAGGCACGAAAGCGUGGGGAUCAAACAGGAUUAGAUACCCCCGUAGUCCCUGUCUCUUAUAC